GAAAUGCGAUAAGUAAUGUGAAUUGCAGAAUUCAGUGAAUCAUCGAAUCUUUGAACGCACAUUGCGCCCAUUAGUAUUCUAGUGGGCAUGCCUGUUCGAGCGUCAUUUCAAACCAUCAAGCCCUAUUUGCUUGGCGUUGGGAGACCGCCGGGCCUCGUCCCGGCGGCUCCUUAAAUAUAUCGGCGGAGUCGUAGCGACCCAAGCGUAGUAAUUCUUUCCUCGCUUCAGGUGUCAAUACCGACGUCUAGCCGCUAAACCCCUAUAAUCUUUUAGUCUUGACCUCGGAUCAGGUAGGAAUACCCGCUGAACUUAA
RNAcentral lists this unclassified non-coding RNA (313 nucleotides) under uncultured Diatrypaceae. RNAcentral describes it as "sequence contains ITS1". The stretch from base 1 to 105 matches the Rfam family "5.8S ribosomal RNA", at positions 50 to 154 of the family's 154-position model. Lineage: Eukaryota; Fungi; Ascomycota; Sordariomycetes; Xylariales; Diatrypaceae. The record is from RNAcentral.